This 253-nucleotide ribosomal RNA is filed under the name uncultured bacterium. RNAcentral describes it as "partial 16S ribosomal RNA". It matches the Rfam family "Bacterial small subunit ribosomal RNA", at positions 524 to 776 of the family's 1533-position model. The record is from RNAcentral.
UACGAAGGGGGCGGGCGUUGUUCGGAUUUACUGGGCGUAAAGGGCGCGUAGGCGGCCUUGUCAGUCAGGCGUGAAAGCCCCGGGCUCAACCUGGGAACGGCGCUUGGGACGGCGAGGCUGGAGUUCGGGAGAGGAGAGUGGAAUUCCCAGUGUAGAGGUGAAAUUCGUAGAUAUUGGGAAGAACACCGGUGGCGAAGGCGGCUCUCUGGACCGACACUGACGCUGAGGCGCGAAAGCGUGGGGAGCGAUCCGG